Molecule: ribosomal RNA, 271 nt
Filed under: uncultured bacterium
Lineage: Bacteria
Description: partial 16S ribosomal RNA
Rfam family: Bacterial small subunit ribosomal RNA
Source: RNAcentral
GACGGAGGGGGCUAGCGUUGUUCGGAAUGACUGGGCGUAAAGGGCGCGUAGGCGGUUUUUUAAGUGAGGCGUGAAAGCCCUGGGCUUAACCCAGGAGGUGCGUUUCAUACUGGAAGACUUGAGUGCGAGAGAGGAAAGUGGAAUUCCUAGUGUAGAGGUGAAAUUCGUAGAUAUUAGGAAGAACACCUGUGGCGAAGGCGGCUUUCUGGCUCGCAACUGACGCUGAGGCGCGAAAGCGUGGGGAGCAAACAGGAUUAGAAACCCGUGUAGU